CCUACGGGUGGCAGCAGUGAGGAAUAUUGGUCAAUGGGCGCGAGCCUGAACCAGCCAAGUCGCGUGAGGGAAGACGGUCCUAUGGAUUGUAAACCUCUUUUUUCGAGGAGAAAAAGACGCCACGCGAGGCGUUCCGAGAGUACCCGAAGAAAAAGCAUCGGCUAACUCCGUGCCGGCAGCCGCGGUAAUACGGAGGAUCCGAGCGUUAUCCGGAUUCAUUGGGUGUAAAGGGUGCGUAGGUUGUGUUAUAUGUUAGCGGUGAAAUACCGAUGCUCAACUUCGGGGCUGCCGCUAAUACUGUAGGACUAGAGAUCGGAUGCAGCAGGCGGAAUGUGUAGUGUAGCGGUGAAAUGCAUAGAUAUUACACAGAACACCGAUUGCGAAGGCGGCUUGCUAGGCCGGAUCUGACGCUGAUGCACGAAAGCGUGGGGAUCGAACAGGAUUAGAUACCCGUGUAGUC
Molecule: ribosomal RNA, 460 nt
Filed under: uncultured bacterium
Lineage: Bacteria
Description: partial 16S ribosomal RNA
Rfam family: Bacterial small subunit ribosomal RNA
Source: RNAcentral